GGCCUUAUGGUCCAAAAGGAUUACGACCUAACAACUUCACUGUUAAAAUGCUGGUUCGAUUCCAGCUGAGGCCC
This 74-nucleotide transfer RNA is filed under the name Pneumocystis canis. Its description in RNAcentral is "tRNA-Glu". It matches the Rfam family "tRNA". Rfam says of the family: Transfer RNA (tRNA) molecules are approximately 80 nucleotides in length. Their secondary structure includes four short double-helical elements and three loops (D, anti-codon, and T loops). Lineage: Eukaryota; Fungi; Ascomycota; Pneumocystomycetes; Pneumocystales; Pneumocystaceae. The record is from RNAcentral.